RNAcentral lists this ribosomal RNA (284 nucleotides) under Metarthrodes pulcherrimus. RNAcentral's name for it is "partial 16S ribosomal RNA". The record is from RNAcentral. Lineage: Eukaryota; Metazoa; Arthropoda; Arachnida; Opiliones; Gonyleptidae.
GCAUAAUCAAUAGUCUUUUAAUUGGGGACUGGAAUGAAGGGUUGAAACUAAAAAGAAAGUUUUAUUUUAUAGGUUUGAAUUUAAGUUAAAAGUAAAAAUGCUUUUAUGAAACUUUGGGACGAGAAGACCCUAGAAGCUUAAAAUACUUAAAGGAAUUUUUGGUUGGGGCAACAUUUGAAGAUGAAGAUUUUUAUGAAAAGUAUAAUAUGAAAUAUUGAAGUUACUCUAGGGAUAACAGCAUUAUUUAAUUAGCAAGUUCUUAUUAAUAAUUUAAGUUUGUGACC